This 225-nucleotide unclassified non-coding RNA is filed under the name Hevea brasiliensis (rubber tree). Lineage: Eukaryota; Viridiplantae; Streptophyta; Magnoliopsida; Malpighiales; Euphorbiaceae. The record is from RNAcentral.
GCCUUUCCUGAAUUUUGUUGUCUAGUAAUUUCAGGCUUGCGACUUUCCUGAAUUGAACAUUACACAGCAGUCUGCGGCCAUCAAAUUUGGGUUCAUAUUAGACUCAGAAAAGCUUCAAGCAAAGAAGUUUAUAUUUUGUUCAAUCAUUAUAAAUUUUCACUUAUUAAAUGUAGAAUUGUAGAGGAACAAAUAGAGGUACUAUGAGGAAGGUGAAUGAGAUGUUUU